GUGGCUGUAGCUUAGUUGGUUCAAAGCGCCUCCCUGUGGAGGAGGAGAUCGGGAGUUCAAAUCUCCUCAGCCACCCA
This 77-nucleotide transfer RNA is filed under the name Candidatus Collierbacteria bacterium. Its description in RNAcentral is "tRNA-His". It matches the Rfam family "tRNA". From Rfam's summary of the family: Transfer RNA (tRNA) molecules are approximately 80 nucleotides in length. Their secondary structure includes four short double-helical elements and three loops (D, anti-codon, and T loops). The record is from RNAcentral. Lineage: Bacteria; Candidatus Collieribacteriota.